This 269-nucleotide ribosomal RNA is filed under the name uncultured prokaryote. Its description in RNAcentral is "partial 16S ribosomal RNA". It matches the Rfam family "Bacterial small subunit ribosomal RNA", at positions 524 to 792 of the family's 1533-position model. The record is from RNAcentral.
UACGGAGGUGGCAAGCGUUGUUCGGAUUUAUUGGGUGUAAAGGGUGUGUAGGUGUCCCGAUAAGUCGAACGUGAAAUCCCUUGGCUCAACCAAGGAACUGCGUUCGAAACUAUCGGGAUUGAGUAUGGAAGAGGAGAGUAGAAUUCCUGGUGUAAGGGUGAAAUCUGUAGAUAUCAGGAGGAACACCGGUGGCGAAAGCGGCUCUCUGGUCCAAUACUGACGCUGAAACACGAAAGCUAAGGGAGCAAACAGGAUUAGAUACCCCCGUA